This 86-nucleotide transfer RNA is filed under the name Thermoactinomyces vulgaris. RNAcentral's name for it is "tRNA-Leu". It matches the Rfam family "tRNA". Rfam says of the family: Transfer RNA (tRNA) molecules are approximately 80 nucleotides in length. Their secondary structure includes four short double-helical elements and three loops (D, anti-codon, and T loops). The record is from RNAcentral. Lineage: Bacteria; Bacillati; Bacillota; Bacilli; Caryophanales; Thermoactinomycetaceae. RNAcentral also lists the same sequence under 2 other names.
GCCGAAGUGGCGGAAUUGGCAGACGCGCACGACUCAAAAUCGUGUUCCCGCAAGGAGUGUGGGUUCGAGUCCCACCUUCGGCACCA